This 3100-nucleotide long non-coding RNA is filed under the name Gossypium raimondii (Peruvian cotton). RNAcentral describes it as "long non-coding RNA (GRAI_LNC000769)". The record is from RNAcentral. Lineage: Eukaryota; Viridiplantae; Streptophyta; Magnoliopsida; Malvales; Malvaceae.
GGCCUCCACUUAGAAUUUGUUACUAUCAAAACUUGAAGUGUUAGAAAGGAUUGGAAGUAUCGCUUAUUUUAUUCCUUUUCACGUUUUACCUAAGCUUAUAGAAUGAGUUCCAAUUCAUUGAUGGGAAAAAAAGGUGAGCUCCACACACCACCAGCAAAUUUCUUUUCUACAUGAAAUGUCUUCUCAACAGCUCGUAUUGCCCUGAACUAGGCACUCGUUAGAGAAUAGACUAUCGUAAUCAGGCUUAUUUAAUGCCUAAACCAAAUUAUGGUUAUUAUGUUAUCUUUAAACCAGAAGGUCAUUGUUGGCACCAACAUAAAGAUGAUAAAGGACAAUAGUUAUUCAAAAGGGAAAAGAAACACAAACUUUGAUUUGUCUACACCAAACAACCAAAACCAUAUAAGUAGAAAAAUAUUCUUCCAGACUUACAGCGCAAGCCGCUAGCAUCAGAUUCUUUAAGUUUGGCAACAAUAAUCUCGCCAAUAAAUGGACGAAACACAAUCAAUCUGAACUCAACCUGCCACAACAGGAAAGAGAAAAAAGAUUUGUCAAACUUCUGAGACUUCAGACAAGCAAUAAUAUGAAUCAAUAUGUCCCGCAUAAAGCAAUUUAACACGCAUAAACGGGAGGCAAAAGAAGGGGAAAAUGGAAAGCAAUACCGUAUAAGUAGAAGCACCAUCCCCGGGAAAGAUAAAGCCACCUUUAAUUGACCUGAUAUCAUAUACUGAAAUACAUAGUCCUAAUUUUGCAAUAACCUAUAUUAUAAUUUACAAAUAUUCAUUAAUCAUCAUCAAAACAUAGUUCAACAAAUAUACUUUAGGGGGUGAAAAGAACCAUUGAAACAAUGAAUAUGUUGGAAGAUAUAGUACUACAAAGUACAAACCUUAUCUAAGAAAAGGGUUUCCAACUCUGACUUAAUAGCCUCAUCAACAGGAAGGUGAAGAAUAUGAGGUGGUAACCGCAAAGUGUGCUCGAUUAAGCUUAGAUAGAACAUAUUCUUUUGCUGUCUUCAAUGUUUUAAAGUUUCAAGAAUCUUAUAAUCAAAAGAAAACUGUCAGUAAGUGAAUACUAGAUUGAGGCAUUAUCCCAAACAUGUGAUGGGCAAUAAACUGAACAUAAAUGGGAUUGCAAGAACCCAAGAGUUCUGUUUAAGAAAAGGGAAAAACAAUUAAACCUAGUGGUGUCGCUGCCGCUAUUUUGAGGUAGCGGUGCCAUUCGAUGCCACUAGAGACCUAAAAAGUGGUAUGAACAAAUUUCACAUCAAUAGCAGUGGGCUGCAAAGAACUAUGUAACGGAUAAUGGUCCACUAUUUCCGAUAAACCGAUAGCUUUUAAGAAAAUUCUCCUUCUCAAUUAAACAGAGAAAGAGUGUAGAUGAGACACAAUAACAAGCAACAGGACAGAAAACAGAAAACCAAAUAAAACUAGAAAUAUUAUGACUCAAGUAGAAAUCAAUUUCAAGUUUAGGGUUUCAAAACUUACAUUAUUUAGUUUCCUAGUCUAUUGUAAAUUUGAAGCUUGGGUCUAGGGAUAACCAAAUUACAAACUGCUAUUAACAGAACAAAUACAAACAAGCAGAUAUCAACAAUCCAGAUUACACCUAAUUUGAUUAAAUACAAAAUUACAUCCCUCAGAAAUUAAAUAUAAGACUUCUUUUUUUCAUUUCUUAUUCUCACAUCUCUCCAACAAAAUUUCGUUUUAACCCAAAGACUAAAGAUUCAAAGCUAAAUUAGUUCAUAUAUUAACCUUAUAAGUUUCAAAUAAAAGAGCUUACCAACUUUCAAAUUUCCUAAAAGGCUUCAGUUCAGGCAUCAGCCAAUGUCAAUAUUGGACAGAUUAGCAAAGCGAGAGAAAGCAACAGACAGAGAUAAGGCAAUGGGAGAAAGCAAAGCAACGGCGUCGGGAUGGGUUUUAGAAGGUGAAUGACGUACCGUAGGCGUCGUUUUCGGUGUCAGCGAUGGGUUUUGGUUUUGGUUUUGGUAAGAAACGCAGCGCUUUGAGUUGAGAGGCUUAUGGGAAAUGUUCUUUUGUUUAGGCUUUUUAGGGUUUUUCUUUUCUUUUAAAAUGAAAAAUUAAUCAAUAAACUCACUUCACGAAUAUUUUAAGAAUUUAAAAAUAUUUUUUAAAAUUUUAAUUUUAAUUCUUAUGAUUGAUUUGGGUUUAAUUUUUUACAUACUUAUAUUUUUUCCUAAUUAAAUUCAUCUAAAAAUGGUGAAUAUAUAGUUGAAUCACCAAAUACUUUAGGUGUGUGGCUAUAAUACUAAUAGAAAACUCAAGUCUAAUAGUGAGGUGUGCUAAAAAAAUAUGCGUAGACCAAAUGAUUCACAAACAUGAAAAGAAUAAGUUAAACACUACAUCUGCAAGACUUUACUCAAAAAAGAAUUUCACCAUGCUAAAUCUAUCCUAACCAUCGAAUAAUUUCACACUUGUAAGCAAUGAUUUAAGCUUAAUUUAUUUUAAUCAUUCAAUAAUUGCUGAUGAACUUAACCAAAUUGCUUUUGAUAAUUUAGCAUUGAUUAUGGUUUCAAAUUGCUUUUGAUACCAAAAAUUCCCUGUUAUUUAAACAACUUGUUUUGCCUGAAGAAAUGGAUUGAGUAGCCAUUGGUAAAGGAUGAAAUACAGUGCAGAUUGCCAAGCAAGCAUAUACAGGGCAGACGGAGAGGCAGAGGCAGAGGUAGAGUCCCCUUCAUAUUCCCUGUUAUUUCCUCUUAAUCUUAUAUCCAUGUUCAUAUUGAGUCGAUUGAUACAUCAAUCGAGAAACAACGGAGAUAAACAAAAUCAAAAUUUAUUGCAGAAUGGAAAAAAAAAAGUUUUGCUACAAUAUAGGAAAGCCAUACUCCAUUCAUUUGAUUCAUACAUGAUAUUUGCAAUGAAGAACAAAGGAAGGAAAUAAGGUUUGGGUUUUAGAGGGACAACCCAGACUCCUCAUCCUCUUCCAGGGAGGAAGUGUAGACGAAGUAAAGAGCCCAAAUCAGGCCGAACACACCAAACAGGAUCCACCCGAGGAGGUUGUUGCUCAAUCCAAAGGGAAGUCCUGUUCCUUCAGUGGACAUUCUCUCGUCCACCAGAGCCAUGGCUGGGCUUGACAUGGUUGCUGCACA